CAGUCGCCGCGGUAAUACGAAGGGGGCUAGCGUUGCUCGGAAUUACUGGGCGUAAAGGGAGCGUAGGCGGACAUUUAAGUCAGGGGUGAAAUCCCAGAGCUCAACUCUGGAACUGCCUUUGAUACUGGGUGUCUUGAGUGUGAUAGAGGUAUGUGGAACUCCGAGUGUAGAGGUGAAAUUCGUAGAUAUUCGGAAGAACACCAGUGGCGAAGGCGACAUACUGGAUCAUUACUGACGCUGAGGCUCGAAAGCGUGGGGAGCAAACAGGAUUAGAUACCCCCGUAGUCCCUGUCUCUUAUAA
This 301-nucleotide ribosomal RNA is filed under the name uncultured bacterium. RNAcentral's name for it is "partial 16S ribosomal RNA". It matches the Rfam family "Bacterial small subunit ribosomal RNA", at positions 509 to 809 of the family's 1533-position model. The record is from RNAcentral.